AGAAAGGUUUCUGUGCAGCCAACAGCCCCCCAAACACCCCACCCCCCAGCAAAAUCCUCCAAAAAAUACGAAUAAAAGUGCACUACGUGGCAGGACUGCCGGAGCUGGGGUGUCUUGGAAAGAUUUAGUAUUCCUUUUGCUUCAUAUUAGGGUUCUACCCCCACCAUACAGCCUCUCCUUUUUCGCGCUUGGCACACGAAGGAAGGCAGACGUCCCCGCUCCUCAUCUGUAAUCUUACCACUGGCCAAUUAAUAAGAUAAUGAUAAUACAGUAUUUCAGCUUCUUUUAUUUAUUCUGAUAGUCUUGGCGCAAGGCAGUGCAGGCAAAUCCCAAGGAGGAAAUUUUGAUAUUUCAAGACUGUCCUCGGUUUGUCUUCCUGCUUACGGAAGGAGGAGGAGAAGGAAGAAGAGGAGGAGAAGGAGGAGAAGGAAAAGCAGAACAAGGAAGAAAAAGAGAAGGAACAGAAGGGAGAGAUGCCGCUGGAGCCGUUGAACAUGCCUCUUAAUUUAAAAAAAUAAUAAUAAUAAUAAUAAUAAUAAUAAUAAUAAUAAACCACUGGUAAAAAGCACAAGAAAAAAAAAAACGUUUGCAACCAGAGAGAUCUUAUGUAGAAAAAAGCACCAAUGCUUUGCAGUCAAACUUUCAUUCCCUUCGGUUUUCUGGUUGAAUUUUUCUUCUUAGAUAUUUCUCUCCCGUUGUUUUUUCAUUUAGGAGCAUUUCCAGUUUUCUUCUGCUCUGACUUCAGCCUUGCUUUUUAAAAAUAUAGUGAGCAAUUUCUUGCCUGCCGUUUCUUCCUAACCUCUUUCUCUCUCGCUGUUUUCUCUUUCUCUCUCUCUCUCUCUCUCUCUCUCUCUCUCUCUCUCUCUCUAACCUAUCUCUCUCUUCUCUGCUUUCCCUCUUCAGUCUUAGAUGCAGCUUCUGGGAUCUCUGCUGGCAGUUUCUGAGCUCUGAGCGCUCAGCUUCUCUGUUUUUGCGCAGCGCCCUCCAUCUGCCAACCAAUUGCCGAACAGCAACACCCACUGGGGUGGGAGCUGAUUGGAUAGACCGGACGUCAAGCAGGGCGCGUCAUGAGGCAACCAGGCGGGGAGGAGGAGGCGAGCUUGGUUCCAGAGCAGACCUAUGAAGAGGAUCAUCCAGCCAUUUGAGAAAGAAAAUUGGCGAUACGCUUUCGGAAGAAGUCUCUCUGUGACCCCAAGUCUCCACUGCUUUUCUCCGGCCGGAGCCGAACCACUGCACGGUGGGUGUUUUCGGAAGAGGCGGCAGUGAGGACUUAAGGGGUCCCUAGAUCCCCUUCCUCUCCUCCCCUCUUUUCCCCUCACCUUCAACCUUCCCUUUCCCCGUCUCCACCUAGGCACAUCCCGCUUUUCCGCUUUGGCUAGUGUCCUUGAUGCUGACCCAUAGUCCAGAUGUGAGGGCUGUGCUGCUGAUGGAACCUGCCCUUGCCCCCUUGCCUGAACUCCUAAAUCUCUGCCCCCUAACUAAACCUGGUGCUUUUUGCAUUUUGGGGUGCAUUUUUUCAGUGCCUAGUAGAAGGUCAAUUGUUUAUUUAUUGUCUCCCUGCUGAGCUGUUUGCAUUGCCUUCCCAUCCCCAGCCUCGAACUCUGCCACACAACACCUCCACCGACUGCAGUAAGGUACUACACUAAGCGGUGUGGCUGAGGCGCGCUUUGUAGUGGCUGAAGAACUAGAUUAGCAAUGCUUUUCCUGGGGAGCUCAAAUGAUGGUGGAGUUGAGAUCUAGGGGCGGGGGAGGAACGGGAGAGCUCGGGUCUGGUGUGUGUCUGCUCCCAGCGAUCAUUUGAGUCUAACGGUAAAAGUGCCCACUGCCUGAGACAGAGGGUAAGGAAUCUUGGAGCUGGGGCAGCGAGG
This is a long non-coding RNA of Phascolarctos cinereus (koala), 1868 nucleotides long. The record is from Ensembl. Lineage: Eukaryota; Metazoa; Chordata; Mammalia; Diprotodontia; Phascolarctidae.